RNAcentral lists this ribosomal RNA (414 nucleotides) under Wolbachia endosymbiont of Neonympha mitchellii mitchellii. RNAcentral's name for it is "bacterial SSU rRNA". It matches the Rfam family "Bacterial small subunit ribosomal RNA", at positions 1004 to 1416 of the family's 1533-position model. Lineage: Bacteria; Pseudomonadati; Pseudomonadota; Alphaproteobacteria; Rickettsiales; Anaplasmataceae. The record is from RNAcentral.
AAGGGAUAGGGUCGGUUCGGCCGGAUUUUACACAGGUGUUGCAUGGCUGUCGUCAGCUCGUGUCGUGAGAUGUUGGGUUAAGUCCCGCAACGAGCGCAACCCUCAUCCUUAGUUGCCAUCAGGUAAUGCUGAGCACUUUAAGGAAACUCCCAGUGAUAAGCUGGAGGAAGAUGGGGAUGAUGUCAAGUCAUCAUGGCCUUUAUGAAGUGGGCUACACACGUGCUACAAUGGUGUCUACAAUGGGCUGCAAGGUGCGCAAGCCUAAGCUAAUCCCUAAAAGACAUCUCAGUUCGGAUUGUACUCUGCAACUCGAGUGCAUGAAGUUGGAAUCGCUAGUAAUCGUGGAUCAGCAUGCCACGGUGAAUACGUUCUCGGGUCUUGUACACACUGCCCGUCACGCCAUGGGAAUUGGUU